UUGAUCAAGCUACAAAGAGCGCAUCAUGGAUGCCUUGGUGCCAAUAGGCGAUGAAGGACGUGGUAAGCUGCGAUAAGUCACGGAUAGCGGCAAACACGCUUUGACCCGUGAAUGUCCGAAUGGGAUAACCUGAGUGGGGUAACACCUGCUCGAGCUUGUGUGAAUUCAUAGCACAAGCAUCGCGAAACCCGGUGAAGUGAAACAUCUCAGUAACCGGAGGAAUAGAAAUCGAAAGAGAUUCCGUAAGUAGUGGCGAGCGAAAGCGGAAGAGACCAAACCGGUCAAUUUAUUGACCGGGGUUGUAGGAGCCCGAUGUGGUAGUGCAAAGGUUAGGUGAAGCUUCUGGAAAGCUGCGCCAUAGAGGGUGAAAGGCCCGUAACCGAAAACUGGAGCACGCCUAGGGAUUUCCUGAGUAAUACGAUGCACGUGAAACUUCGUAUGAAUCUGCGCCGACCACGGCGUAAGUCUAAAUACUAAUUGGCGACCGAUAGUGAACCAGUACCGCGAGGGAAAGGUGAAAAGAACCGCUGUGAGCGGAGUGAAAUAGUACCUGAAAUGAUGUGCUUACAAGGUGUGGAAGCCGGGCAACCGGUGACCGCGUGCCUUUUGCUUAAUGAGUCUGCGAGUUACUGUCAGUGGCGAGCCUAAGUCGUUCUGCGAUGGAGGCGAAGCGAAAGCGAGUCCGAAAUGGGCGAAUUUAGUCGCUGGUAGUAGACCCGAAGCCGAGGUGAUCUACCCAUGAGCAGGUUGAAGGUUGCUUAACCGCAACUGAAGGACCGAACCCGUGAAGGUUGAAAACUUCUGGGAUGACUUGUGGGUAGGAGCGAAAGACUAAUCAAACCCGGUGAUAGCUGGUUCUCCCCGAAAUAGCUUGAGGGCUAGCCUCGUGUGCUGACCUGCGGAGGUAGAGCACUGGAUGAACUAGGGCCCAUACCAGGGUACCGAACUCAAUCAAACUCCGAAUGCCGCAGGGUGUAACACGGGAGUCAGUGCGUGGGGGAUAAGCUUCACGCGCGAGAGGCAAACAUGCCAGACCAGCAGCUAAGGUGCCCAAAUACCGUUCAGUGGAAAGGAUGUGAGGUUGCACAGACAGUGAGGAUGUUGGCUUAGAGGCAGCCAUCAUUUAAACAGUGCGUAACAGCUGACUCAUCGAGCGAUCUCGCGCCGAUAAUGAUUGGCGAUAAGCGGUAUACCGAAGCUCUGGAAGACGUUCUGGUUCGCCAGGACGGAUUGGUAGGGGAGCGUUGUAGCGACAUCGAAGCAGGAGCGGAAGCAACUGUGGAGUUUCUACAAGUGAGAAUGCAGACAUGAGUAGCGAUAAGCCAGGUUAAAUUCCUGGCCGCCGUAAACCCAAGGUUUCCUGGGGAAGGUUCGUCCUCCCAGGGUUAGUCGGGACCUAAGUCGAGGCCGAAGGGCGUAGACGAUGGACAGCAGGUUUAAUAUUCCUGCACCGGCUGUGGUUAAGUUUAGUUGUGACAUAUGAGUAGAGACAGGCCGUCGAUUGAAAGUGACGGUCUGCCCGCAAGGGCAAGGACGGGGAGGCCUCGGCUGAACCGGAUCUGUUAAAACUUGUAUCAAGAAAACCAACUAAAUGUUCCCACGGUUGCCCGUACCGUAAUCCGACACAGGUGGGUGGGUAGAGUAUACCCAGGCGCGUGAGUGAAACCUCGUUAAGGAACUCGGCAAUCUAGCCCCGUAACUUCGGAAGAAGGGGUGCCCCGCACCAUUUUGGUGAUUAAAAACAUGAGUUAUAUCUACGUAUUACAAAGUCCGGACGGCUCGGACAUCUACAUCGGCUUCAGUAAGGAUCUGAAACGAAGGAUGGCCGAGCAUGAACGGAGUGUGCAUCCCGGUUGGAGGCUCGUUUAUUACGAAGCAUACCAAUCGGAGAGUGAUGCGAGACGGCGAGAACGUCGUCUGAAGGAUCACGGCAAUGCAGUAAGACAACUCAAGCAGCGAAUCAAAGAUUCCUGGGACAAGCAGUCGUCCUAAUCUCUGGUCACCAAAAUGGUGCGGGGUCGCAGUGAAAUGGGUCAACCGACUGUUUAACAAAAACACAGCACUCUGCAAAGUCGUAAGACGACGUAUAGGGUGUGACACGUGACCAAUGCGGAAAGAUUAUGGUAAGUGGUUAGUCCCGCGCAAGCGGGACGAAGCUACGAGCCGAAGUCCCCGUGAAUGUCGGCCGUAACUAUAACGGUCCUAAGGUAG
This 2211-nucleotide ribosomal RNA is filed under the name Blastocatellia bacterium. RNAcentral describes it as "bacterial LSU rRNA". It matches the Rfam family "Bacterial large subunit ribosomal RNA", at positions 1 to 1959 of the family's 2925-position model. The record is from RNAcentral. Lineage: Bacteria; Pseudomonadati; Acidobacteriota; Blastocatellia.